GUCGAGAAUCUUUCACAAUGGGGGCAACCCUGAUGGAGCGACGCCGCGUGGAGGAUAAGGUCUUCGGAUUGUAAACUCCUGUCAUGCGUGAACAAGGUUGCUUGGUUAAUACCUGGGCAAAUUGAUGGUAACGCAAGAGGAAGAGACGGCUAACUCUGUGCCAGCAGCCGCGGUAAUACAGAGGUCUCAAGCGUUGUUCGGAAUCACUGGGCGUAAAGGGUGCGUAGGGGGCGUGGUAAGUCAGAUGUGAAAGCCCGGGGCUCAACCACGGAACUGAAUCCGAUACUGCCAUGGUAGAGUACUGGAGAGGUGACUAGAAUUCUCGGUGUAGCAGUGAAAUGGGUAGAUAUCGAGAGGAAUACCAAAGGCGUAGGCAGGUCACUGGACAGUUACUGACACUGAGGCACGAAGGCCAGGGGAGCGAACGGGAUUAGAAACCCGAGUAGUCC
This 449-nucleotide ribosomal RNA is filed under the name uncultured bacterium. RNAcentral's name for it is "partial 16S ribosomal RNA". It matches the Rfam family "Bacterial small subunit ribosomal RNA", at positions 354 to 796 of the family's 1533-position model. The record is from RNAcentral.